AACCGGGAUGAGCUUCAAAUUUAAAAUCUGGCGUCUUUCAGGCGUCCGAGUUGUAAUCUAUAGAGGCGUUUUCCGCGCCGGACCGCGUCCAAGUCUCUUGGAAUAGAGUAUCAAAGAGGGUGACAAUCCCGUACUUGACGCGACAACCGGUGCUCUGUGAUACGUUCUCAAUGAGUCGAGUUGUUUGGGAAUGCAGCUCUAAAUGGGUGGUAAAUUCCAUCUAAGGCUAAAUAUUGGCGAGAGACCGAUAGCGAACAAGUACCGUGAGGGAAAGAUGAAAAGCACUUUGGAAAGAGAGUUAAACAGCACGUGAAAUUGUUAAAAGGGAAACGAUUGAAGUCAGUCGUGUGAAAGGUAUUCAGCCGUCUCUGGCGGUGUAUUUGCCUUUCACGGGUCAACAUCAGUUUGAUCCGGUAGAAAAAGGCGGGAGGAAGGUGGCACCCUCGGGUGUGUUAUAGCCUCCUGUCAUAUGUGCCGGACCAGACUGAGGAACGCAGCUUGCCGCAAGGCCGGGGUUCGCCCACGUACAAGCUUAGGAUGUUGACAUAAUGGCUUUAAACGACCCGUCU
RNAcentral lists this ribosomal RNA (569 nucleotides) under Vishniacozyma victoriae. Its description in RNAcentral is "partial large subunit ribosomal RNA". It matches the Rfam family "Eukaryotic large subunit ribosomal RNA", at positions 96 to 654 of the family's 3401-position model. The record is from RNAcentral. Lineage: Eukaryota; Fungi; Basidiomycota; Tremellomycetes; Tremellales; Bulleribasidiaceae.